This 264-nucleotide ribosomal RNA is filed under the name unidentified marine bacterioplankton. RNAcentral describes it as "partial 16S ribosomal RNA". It matches the Rfam family "Bacterial small subunit ribosomal RNA", at positions 72 to 339 of the family's 1533-position model. The record is from RNAcentral.
AUAGGUACUUGCACCUAAUGGCAAGUGGCGAACGGGUGAGUAAUGCAUCGGAACAUGCCCAAUCGUAAAAAUAACGCAGCAAAAGCUGUACUAAUACCGCAUACGAUCUACGAAUGAAAGCGGGGGACCUUCGGGCCUCGCGCGAUUGGAGCGGCCGAUGUUAGAUUAGGUAGUUGGUGGGAUAAAGGCUCACCAAGCCGACGAUCUAUAGCUGGUCUGAGAGGACGACCAGCCACACUGGAACUGAGACACGGUCCAGACUCC